Long non-coding RNA from Anthonomus grandis grandis, 580 nucleotides. RefSeq lists it as uncharacterized. NCBI's taxonomy places the organism in Eukaryota, Metazoa, Arthropoda, Insecta, Coleoptera, Curculionidae. The transcript is spliced from 2 exons. The record is from RefSeq and is a predicted model, not a curated record.
AGUGCAUUAUAUGAAAUAGGCAAAAAAACCUCUUUUGAUACGUUACACAAAAACACUUUCACAAUUAGAAAUGCUUCCAAUAUUAUCCGAAGAUGAAGCCAUGGAUGUUGCCAGUAAAUUUAUUUUUUUACUGUAUAAAUACAAAGAUGAAAAUAUUAAAAACUUAAACGAAUUAAGAUUCCACCAGCAACAACCAAAAAACAAACCUGCUUCUGAACUUCCGCCGACCGUAGAUGCUUUUGGACUACACCUAAAAAGGUGUAUUUACCAAUUAAAAACUUGGUAUAACAGUUAUUUACCAGAACCUGUAUAUGAAAAUCCCGCCAAGUUUGGAAGGCUGUUAAAAGAAGAUGUGUGGGUACCACAGUUCACGAUUAAAGACCCAGUGCCAGUAGAACUAAAAAAACUUUUAUCCAUAACAAAGACAAAAAUUGCAAUAGUACUAGAUGUGUUUGCGUAAAACAGGGAUUAAAAUGUAUGAUAGAAUGUAAAUGCAGAUUAUGCAAUAAUAGUUUAAGUUUUAAUGAUGAUAUUUCAGAAUCAGAAAACGAAGAAGCCUAAUAUAAUAAUAUUAUGAUUU